GUUUUCAAAAGAGGAAUUUAAAUUUGCAAAGAUGGAAAUGAUUGUAGUGAAUAUUCUUGCCGAUGUUUUAUAUAAUCUUCUUAAACAACACAAACAAAAUGUGAAGCCUAGGAGUGAAUGUGAUAUAACGUACUUGUCAAAAGAGCUAUGGAGUCUUAAUAAACAUAUUCCGAGUAAUUCAGGUGGCCGCAAAUAUCCUUGGGCAAAGACAUUGUAUGAUAUAAAGAAUACUGAUACAUCUACUUGAGAUGACAUAGAGCGCAUACGACUUACCAGGAUUGGACUUCAACACUCUACGACAUAUGAACUUGAAGAUAAGCGUUACACUGACCUGUGUCAUAUUAUAGAGGAUCUUUUAAAACGAUUUGAUAAACGCAACAAUCCAAGGAAGCUGUAUUCAAAACGACUCAAUGAUGUUUUAGCCAGAACAAUUGCAAAUGAGGAAGUGAAUGACAUUCAUCAUCAAAUUGAAAAUGAAAUUAAAACACAGUCGGGUAAGAUUGAUUUGAAAAUCACAUGAGUUCAUCAUCCAUGCUCUACUUUUCAUGAUUUUUGCACAGUCAUUUAUUAAAUCUAUAGUUAUCAAAACAGGUAUUUAUAAAAUGAUUAAAGCUUUGUACGCAAAUAAAAAACUCAUACAUAUUUUACUUUUAUUUUAUAGAGGUCUAAAUGAUAUAAGUUUUAUAUGAGUAAAUAAACUCAUUAUAAAGACCAGGAAUAAAAUUUAGUAUUACCGCUUGACGUGCGUUUCGUCUACAAAAGACUCACUAGUUACGAUCGAAUUAAGAAAAGUAAAGAAUGCAAAAUCACUGGGCUGGUGAUACCAACAGAGGAAUAAAACUCCACUAGCAGUGUCAUCGACCCAGUGGUUGUAAAUAAACUCAUCAUGAAUAUCAGGAUUGAAAUUUUGUAUUGACGCAAGAAGCGCGUAUCGUCUACAAUUGACUCUUCAGUGACGCUCGAUUAAAAAAAGAUAUAUUCAAACCUCAAACUGUACAUAGCAUCUGUACAUGAUUUUGUGUUUUGUAUACUAUUGUUUGCUUUUUUAUCGUUUUUCGUGUUUUGCCGUGACAUUGUUAGUUUAUUUCCUCUUAUAAGUUAUCCUUUCAGUAUACAUUUGUACUAGUACAACGUGCAUUAUUUUGACGUAUUUCUGUGUAAAACAGUAAGGGACCAUGAAUUGAUUAAAAAAAUAUGUUCAUUGAAAUGUUAACAAAAAACUGAACAGUAUCUUCUUGUGAAGAUGACAACAUACCGAGUAUUGUAAGCACACCAAUAUUAUUUAGUAUACUUUAUGAAACGAGAAUAAAAAUUACAAAAACAUGAAAAAGUUAUCAGGUACCAGGUUUAUAAUUUAAUGAGCCUGUUAUUGUUAUAUUUAUAAAUUAACUAUUUAUAAAAUUUUCAAUGUGUGAAAAAACUUUUUACCUUAGGCAUAGAUUACCUAAGCUGUAUUUGGCAUAACUUUUAGGAAUUUUGGUCCUUAAUGCUCUUUAAAUUCCUACUUUAUUUGGCCUUUUUAACUUUUUUGAAUUCGAGCGUCACUGAUGAGUCUUUUGCAGACGAAACGCGCGUCUGGCGUAUAUACAAAUUUUAGUCCUUGUAUCUAUGAUGAGUUUAUCUACAUAAGACUCAUCAGUGACGAUCCGAUCAACAAAAUUGGAAAGCCAAACAAGUAAAACGUUGGAGAGCAUUGAUGACUCAAAAUACCAAAAACUGUGCCAAAAGAAUGUUGUACAAAGAGUUGUCUCAAUGGUCGUUUAUCAUGCAGAAAGAAUUGCACUCUCCUAGUGUGGCUACUAGUUUUCAUUAGGGUGAUUUCUUAUAAAGUAAAAACUGCAAUACAGUAACAAAUAUGAAUGUAGAAGUAUACGAGUACAUACAAAAUAUUUUCAAUCAGAAAAAACACAUCCAGUAAAUAAGAAAGAACCUAGGGGCUGUUCUAAUGUACCAUUGAAAUUAGAAUUGACCUGAUUGAUCUUUCUUGUUACCAUGAUUCUGUAUUUUAAUUGUGUUUUUUAAGAAAAAAAGUUUUGUUAUAAUUAUUAUGCAAUGAUGGUUUCAUUUAAUUUCAGAACUGGAACUUGUUGUGGAAGUUAAACACACGAA
This 2109-nucleotide long non-coding RNA is filed under the name Mytilus galloprovincialis (Mediterranean mussel). The record is from RNAcentral. Lineage: Eukaryota; Metazoa; Mollusca; Bivalvia; Mytilida; Mytilidae.